This 468-nucleotide ribosomal RNA is filed under the name uncultured bacterium. Its description in RNAcentral is "partial 16S ribosomal RNA". It matches the Rfam family "Bacterial small subunit ribosomal RNA", at positions 28 to 507 of the family's 1533-position model. The record is from RNAcentral.
GACGAACGCUGGCGGCGUGCUUAACACAUGCAAGUCGAACGGAAAGGCCCUGCUUUUGUGGGGUGCUCGAGUGGCGAACGGGUGAGUAACACGUGAGUAACCUGCCCUUGACUUUGGGAUAUCUUCAGGAAACUGGGGCUAAUACCGGAUAGGAUCUCCUGCUGCAUGGUGGGGGUUGGAAAGUUUCGGCGGUUGUGGAUGGGCUCGCGGCUUAUCAGCUUGUUGGUGGGGUAGUGGCUUACCAAGGUUUCGACGGGUAGCCGGCCUGAGAGGGUGACCGGCGGCAAGGGGACUAAGAGACGGAGCAGAAGCCAACGGGAGGCAGCAGGGGAGAGUAUGGCACAAUGAGCGGAAGCCUGAUGCAGAGGCGCCGCGAGCGGAAAGACGGCCUUCGGGGGAUAAACCGAUUUCGCCUGUGACGAAGCGUGAGUGACGGUAAUGGGUAAAGAAGCACCGGCUAACUACGUG